Molecule: non-coding RNA, 208 nt
Filed under: unidentified
Source: RNAcentral
AUAAUACUUCCGUUCGUCGGCGCCUGACGAUGUGGGCACAUCAAACGUGCCCGUAUUCGACGGCUUAAUAGGGAACACGGCAAAACCGUGGCUGCCCCCGCAAUUGUACGCAGCGAGUUCGCACUCCACUGCCACUGGUUUCGACCGGGAAGGCCGGCGCGGAUGACGACCUGCCAGCCAAGAGACCUGCCGACUCAAUCGCCUUCGC